Molecule: ribosomal RNA, 254 nt
Filed under: uncultured bacterium
Lineage: Bacteria
Description: partial 16S ribosomal RNA
Rfam family: Bacterial small subunit ribosomal RNA
Source: RNAcentral
UACGAAGGGAGCUAGCGUUGUUCGGAAUUACUGGGCGUAAAGCGUAUGCAGGCGGAUCGUUAAGUCGGGGGUGAAAUCCCGAGGCUCAACCUCGGAACUGCCUUCGAUACUGGCGACCUUCGAGUCCGGGAGAGGUGAGUGGAACUCCGAGUGUAGAGGUGAAAUUCGUAGAUAUUCGGAAGAACACCAGUGGCGAAGGCGGCUCACUGGCCCGGUACUGACGCUGAGAUACGAAAGCGUGGGGAGCAAACAGG